CUUUUAUAUUCAAGGAUAAAUUUAUUAAUCAACAAAGAAAAAUGAAAAUUCUUAAAAGAUGAGAUCAAUUCAGAAGCACUUUUAUUUAUUAAAAAUAUAUAUUUCUUACAAAUAAUAGACAGAAUUCCAUUGGUCUACCUUAGGAUAAGAGCUUGAAUCUCUAUCUAUCCUAUAAACAUAUCAAGAUAAAUAAUGCCGAAAGAUACUUAGAUUUAUUUACGACCUUUGAGGAGCUGUAUGACGUGAAAAUCUCAUAUACGGCUUUAUAAUAGCAAUGGGAAAAGUGAUGUUAUCAUCGACUAUGAUUAUCUAACAAUUCAAGUACAGUUGAUAUAAUUGAAGUGCAGUCAAAAUAUGGUUCUUGGGGAUGGAAUUUGUGGCAUUAACCUAUAGGGUUUAUUGUUUUUCUAAUUUCUUCUCUAGCCGAGUGUGAGAGAUUACCUUUUGAUUUACCAGAAGCAAAAGAGGAAUUAGUAGCAGGUUAUCAAAUGGAAUAUUCAGGUACCAAAUUUGGCUUAUUUUAUGUUGUUUCGUAUCUAAUUUUAUUAGCUUCUUCAUUAUUUGUAACAGUUCUUUACAUGGGGGCUAGAAUCUUUCUAUUAUGUACAUAUUCGUUCCUGAGCUUUUUGAAAGAGGUAAAGUUUUUGAAAUAAUAAUCGUUAUCUUUAUUACAUUAGCUAAAACUUAUCUGUUCUUAUUCAUUUCUAUAGCAACAAGAUGGACUUUACCGAGACUGAGAAUGGACCAACUAUUAAAUCUUGGAUGGAAAUUUCUUUUAUCUAUUUCUCUAGAUAAUCUAUUAUUAACAAUUUUAUUCCAACUUCUUUCACUGUAAAGGAAUAGAAUAUUCUAUAUUCACAACUUGUCUCAAACAAGAGAAAGAAACAAGUAUAAAAUUAUUUAUGGAUAUUUAUGAUAUGUCUAUGGCAACUAACUUUAUGAAUUAUGGUCAACAAACAAUACAAGUUUUAAGGUACAUUGGUCAAGGUUUCAUGAUCACCUUGUCACAUGUGAAUCAUUUACCUAUAACUAUUCAAUACCCCCACGAAAAAUUGAUCACAUCGGAAUGUUUCCAAGGAUGAAUCCACUUUGAAUUUGAUAAAUACAUUGCUUGUGAAGUAUGUGUUCAUAUAUGUCCUAUAGAUUUAUCCCUUGUUUAUUGGAAAUUGGAAGUGGAUAUUCGAAAGAAAUGAUUACUUAAUUACAGUAUUUAUUUUCGAAUCUGUAUAUUAUGUGGUAAUUGCGUUGAGUAUUUCCAACAAAUUGUUUAUCAGUAACUGAAGAAUAUGAACUUUCUACUUAUAAAUGUCAUAAACUGAAUUAUAAUCAAAUUGCUUUAGGUUGGCUACCGGUGUCAAUAAUUGACGAUUACACAAUUCGAAUAAUUUUGAAUUCACCGCAAGUAAAAAAUGGGAAAAAAUCCUUGAUUGAAACACCAUUCCAUCAUUCUUGAAUCCAAAAGAAUGAGGUUUUUUGCUUGGUCAAUAGGUUGGUUGGUGAGAAUCGUGGCUUAAUUUGGAUUGAAAAUUGAUUUCUAUUCAACUAAUUAUUUCAAAAUAGAGAGUUUCUCUAUAACUGUAUCUACAUUAAUCCACAUCACACCCAUUCCAAUUUAAUUCAAUUAAGAAGUAUCCUCAAAGAUAACUUCUUUUUUCUUGGUCAGAUUAACAAUGCCAUAAAAUAUUUCGCUUUUCCUAUUUUUUUUUUUCAAUAAAAUCAAAGGGAUUUACAUGGACCAAUACAUAAUUUUCUUUUAGUCUUUCUCGGACCGGGUCUUAUAUUAGGAAGUCUAGGAGUAGUAUUACUUCCCAAUCCAAUUUAUUCGGCCUUUUCGUUGGGAUUGGUUCUUUUUUAUAUAUCCUUAUUCUAUAUUAUCGAACUCGUAUUUUUUAGAUGCUACAUAGCUCAUUAUUUAUGUGGGAGCUAUAAAUAUUUUAAUCGUUUUUGCUGUGAUGUUCAUGAGUAAUUUAGAAUAUUACAAAGAUUUUCAUCUUUGGACUGUUGGGGAUAGAGUAACUUCAAUAGUUUGAAGAAGUCUUUUUAUUUCACUAAUUACUACUUGAUGUUAUCCAAGAG
Molecule: long non-coding RNA, 2076 nt
Filed under: Olea europaea subsp. europaea
Lineage: Eukaryota; Viridiplantae; Streptophyta; Magnoliopsida; Lamiales; Oleaceae
Source: RNAcentral